RNAcentral lists this ribosomal RNA (1377 nucleotides) under uncultured bacterium. Its description in RNAcentral is "bacterial SSU rRNA". It matches the Rfam family "Bacterial small subunit ribosomal RNA". The record is from RNAcentral.
GUACGCUGGCGGCACGCCUAACACAUGCAAGUCGAACGAAGUAGCAAUACUUAGUGGCAGACGGGUGAGUAACAUGUAGGUAUCUGCCCUUUGGCCUGGAAUAACACGAGGAAACUUGUGCUAAUACCGGAUAAGUCUUUACGGAGAAAGCUUUAUGCACCAUUGGAUGAGCCUGCACUUGAUUAGUUUGUUGGUGGGGUAAUGGCCUACCAAGACUGUGAUCAAUAGCUGAUUUGAGAGGAUGAUCAGCCACAUUGGGACUGAGACACGGCCCAAACUCCUACGGGAGGCAGCAGUGGGGAAUCUUGCACAAUGGAGGAAACUCUGAUGCAGCGAUGCCGCGUGAGUGAAGAAGGCCUUUGGGUUGUAAAGCUCUUUCGUCGGGGAAGAAAAUGACUGUACCCGAAUAAGAAGGUCCGGCUAACUUCGUGCCAGCAGCCGCGGUAAUACGAAGGGACCUAGCGUAGUUCGGAAUUACUGGGCUUAAAGAGUUCGUAGGUGGUUGAAAUAGUUGGUGGUGAAAUCCCAGAGCUUAACUCUGGAACUGCCAUCAAAACUUUUCAGCUAGAGUAUGAUAGAGGAAAGCAGAAUUUCUAGUGUAGAGGUGAAAUUCGUAGAUAUUAGAAAGAAUACCAAUUGCGAAGGCAGCUUUUCUGGAUCAUUACUGACACUGAGGAACGAAAGCAUGGGUAGCGAAGAGGAUUAGAUACCCUCGUAGUCCAUGCCGUAAACGAUGUGUGUUAGACGUUGGAAAUUUAUUUUCAGUGUCGCAGGGAAACCGAUAAACACACCGCCUGGGGAGUACGACCGCAAGGUUAAAACUCAAAUGAAUUGACGGGGACCCGCACAAGUAGUGGAGCAUGUGGUUUAAUUCGAAGAUACGCGCAGAACCUUACCAACACUUGACAUGUUCGUCGCGACUCUAAGAGAUUAGAGUUUUCGGUUCGGCCGGACGAAACACAGGUGCUGCAUGGCUGUCGUCAGCUCGUGUCGUGAGAUGUUGGGUUAAGUCCCGCAACGAGCGCAACCCUCACUUUUAGUUGCCAUCAUUAAGUUGGGCACUCUGAAAGAACUGCCAGUGAUAAGCUGGAGGAAGGUGGGGAUGACGUCAAGUCCUCAUGGCCCUUACGUGUUGGGCUACACACGUGCUACAAUGGUAUCUACAACAGGAAGCAAGACUGCGAAGUUAAGCAAAUCCCUAAAAGAUACCUCAGUUCGGAUUGCACUCUGCAACUCGAGUGCAUGAAGCUGGAAUUACUAGUAAUCGUGGAUCAGCGUGCCACGGUGAAUGCGUUCCCGGGUCUUGUACACACCGCCCGUCACACCAUGGGAGUUGGUUCUACCUUAAGGCAAGGUUUCAAACCCUUGACCACGGUA